CGCGGGGUGGAGCGGCCCGGUAGCUCGUCAGGCUCAUAACCUGAAGGUCACAGGUUCAAAUCCUGUCCCCGCACCCA
RNAcentral lists this transfer RNA (77 nucleotides) under Caulobacter hibisci. RNAcentral's name for it is "tRNA-Met". It matches the Rfam family "tRNA". From Rfam's summary of the family: Transfer RNA (tRNA) molecules are approximately 80 nucleotides in length. Their secondary structure includes four short double-helical elements and three loops (D, anti-codon, and T loops). The record is from RNAcentral. Lineage: Bacteria; Pseudomonadati; Pseudomonadota; Alphaproteobacteria; Caulobacterales; Caulobacteraceae.